RNAcentral lists this ribosomal RNA (274 nucleotides) under uncultured bacterium. RNAcentral describes it as "partial 16S ribosomal RNA". It matches the Rfam family "Bacterial small subunit ribosomal RNA", at positions 523 to 796 of the family's 1533-position model. The record is from RNAcentral.
AUACGGAGGGUGCAAGCGUUAUUCGGAAUCACUGGGCGCAAAGGGUGCGUAGGCGGUUUGAUAAGUCUGAUGUGAAAUCCUAUGGCUCAACCAUAGAACUGCAUUGGAAACUGUCAGACUAGAAUACUGAAGGGGCAGAUGGAAUUAGUGGUGUAGGGGUAAAAUCCGUAGAUAUCACUAGGAAUACCGAAAGCGAAAGCGAUCUGCUGGGAAGUUAUUGACGCUGAGGCACGAAAGCGUGGGGAGCAAACGGGAUUAGAUACCCUUGUAGUCC